UUUAAUUCGAAGCAACGCGAAGAACCUUACCAGGUCUUGACAUCCUCUGACACUCCUAGAGAUAGGACGUUCCCCUUCGGGGGACAGAGUGACAGGUGGUGCAUGGUUGUCGUCAGCUCGUGUCGUGAGAUGUUGGGUUAAGUCCCGCAACGAGCGCAACCCUUGAUCUUAGUUGCCAGCAUUAAGUUGGGCACUCUAAGGUGACUGCCGGUGACAAACCGGAGGAAGGUGGGGAUGACGUCAAAUCAUCAUGCCCCUUAUGACCUGGGCUACACACGUGCUACAAUGGAUGGUACAAAGGGCAGCAAAACCGCGAGGUCGAGCAAAUCCCAUAAAACCAUUCUCAGUUCGGAUUGUAGGCUGCAACUCGCCUACAUGAAGCUGGAAUCGCUAGUAAUCGCGGAUCAGCAUGCCG
This 415-nucleotide ribosomal RNA is filed under the name uncultured Bacillota bacterium. RNAcentral describes it as "bacterial SSU rRNA". It matches the Rfam family "Bacterial small subunit ribosomal RNA", at positions 945 to 1359 of the family's 1533-position model. The record is from RNAcentral. Lineage: Bacteria; Bacillati; Bacillota.